This 212-nucleotide ribosomal RNA is filed under the name Enterobacter sp. Its description in RNAcentral is "partial 16S ribosomal RNA". It matches the Rfam family "Bacterial small subunit ribosomal RNA", at positions 1132 to 1343 of the family's 1533-position model. The record is from RNAcentral. Lineage: Bacteria; Pseudomonadati; Pseudomonadota; Gammaproteobacteria; Enterobacterales; Enterobacteriaceae.
CGGGCACUCAAAGGAGACUGCCAGUGACAAACCGGAGGAAGGUGGGGAUGACGUCAAGUCAUCAUGGCCCUUACGAGUAGGGCUACACACGUGCUACAAUGGCAGGUACAGAGAGAAGCCACCUCGCGAGAGCGAGCUGACCUCACAAAGCCGGUCGUAGUCCGGAUCGCAGUCUGCAACUCGACUCCGUGAAGUCGGAAUCGCUAGUAAUC